Molecule: non-coding RNA, 41 nt
Filed under: Alexandrium minutum
Lineage: Eukaryota; Dinophyceae; Gonyaulacales; Pyrocystaceae
Source: RNAcentral
UUUUUUUUUUUUUUUUUUUUUUUUUUUUUUUUUUUUUUUUC